GUCAAAAUUCUGUCAGCCCGAAUCAUGUAACCAAAACCCCGUAAAAACUAAAUAUAAUGUUAACUAUAUAACUUUGUAAAUAAACUGCUCAAAAACUCAAAAAAUGGACUCAAAAUAGUUAUGAUGCGAAAACCAUACAAUAGUUUCAAAAUUCCAAGUGAUUUUACAAACGCUAGGUUACACGAAAAUAGAUGAUUGAAAUCUACAGUUAAACAAUAAGAAAAUAUAUUGAAAACACGUCAAAAUGUUCAAGGAUGACGAUGAUGAUGACGAGGCCACCUUGAGUGCCACGAGGUACCCUGUCAUGCCUUCCCUGGUGGCUCUGCAGCAGAUGAGGAACCGUCUCCACCUGGCAUACCUCGGCAAGAAGCUGAUGAAGUGGACAGCUUUAGCUUCCCGCAAAGAAAUGAGGAGACUUUCUGUGAAGAUUAAUGAUGCCCUGAUGGAUUAUGGUGAGCGGGUGGAAGAAGCCUUCAUUCUCCUGGCCAGAGCAAGAUACUUUCUGCCUCAGCUGAACGGCGUGGUGCUGGAAAGUAUUCCUCGACAGGCAAGUAUCACAGUCAAAACAGCAGGCAGAAGUGUUUCCGGAGUGAAAGUUAAGAAUUUAAACUUGAUUGAGACUUUUCAAGAUCCCUAUCCAUUUUUGGGAUUAAACAAAGGCGGUAUGGUCGUUACCAACUGCAAAACGGCUUGGUCAGAGUUGGUACGACGGAUGGUGCUGGUACUUCAACUGAGAACUACUUUUGACCUGGUCGAAGUAGCCCACAAGAACGCCACCAAGAAAAAGAAUGCAUUAGUGGUAUGUGUCAUACCGAGAAUACGGAAAACGGGAUUGUACAUUAUAAGUGAAUUGGAAGAAAGAGAAAGAGAGGAAAUAUUCAGACUGAAAAGAUUCAAAGAACUCAAAUAUGUACAUAAAGCACCAAACGUAAAAGAUGAAGUAGACAGAAGAAUGUCUUUGUCACCUGAUCUAAUCUUACCAGUAAUUUUCGAAGACUCAAAAAAAGAACUGGUGAUAGAUGCUAUAUCAUUAAAAUUAAAAAUGGUGCCAAAAACCACAGAAACUGAGAUUGUAGAAACUUCAGAGAAGGAAACAGGCAAAGAUGAUAAAAAGGAGAUAGAAAUUAUAAGUGAAAAACCAAGUUAUAGGUGGAAGAAAAUUACUAUAGAAGACAAAAUGGUUGCAAUGGAGAACGUAAAGACGGGACUCACUCCUUGCAGUACAGUAGCUGGCUCCAAGAUUACGUUAAGUAAAUAUGAUAAAGAAGCAGGAAAAUCGCAAUCCAGUCUAUGGCAGGCUGAAGCUCAAGCAAAAGAAGGAGCGAAAAAUCUAGUAUUACGUAGAGUGCAAAGGCAAGAGACAAACUCCUGUCAUUAUAAAGAAAGGCUUGAAAAUCUCCAGAAAAAUAUAAAUCAACUAAUAGAAAUGGCGGACGACUUGGAAGGUACAUUGAGCAACGUGGAUAAGUUUAUAGAAAAAUGUGAAAUUGUCAAACGUAAAAUCGAAGCAUUAAGUUGCUCUUGCGUAGAAGAUCAGUCAGAUACACCAUGCAAACCGACAGACUACUUAAACUUUAACCUACAACCUACCUCAACGUUUCCACAAUCAGGAAACGAUAGAUCAAGAGGACAAUCAGCUAGCCAGAAACAAUCACAUGAAUCGAACGUAGAAGACAUAUCGUUACAAACUUCGUCAGCAGCAACCUCGUCAGGAGUAUCAUGUCCUCAUUCAAGUUGUGCCAAUUGCGCAGGAAGACCAUCUGUCGGCGAUAAUCCAUUACUAGCAUCGCUAGAAGUAAGUGAAAGAAUACUAGUAGACAGACCUAUGGCACAAUCAGCAACAGGACCAGAAGCACACGCACAAAUGUCGACUAGCGCGUAUGAGAUAAAACCUGAACUCAAAGGGACUUACUCACACUACGACAAGGAAUACAAAGAAAUAAGUAAAGUUUCAAGGACCAUGAAUUCGGAUGGAAGUAUAAGCGAGGAGAGACAAGUUGUAGCAAUUAAAACUGAAAGACAGAAUCGUCCACGUCCUGGUUUUAAAGAUCGUGGGUCGAAGGACAAUACAUGUACAAAUUCUUGUGCCAGAAGAACUAGUGAAUGUGGAUAUAGUGGUGCGCAGGAAAAUAGUGACAACUUCAAAAACAGCAGCAGUGGUUACAGCAGUCAAGCAGGUCCCAGUUUUGAAAAUAAAUAUGCUGUAGACCCUGGAAUCUGUAGUGGCUGUAGCAAGCGCAUAUCUACUCCAUAUGAUGAAAUAUUACCAUGGCAAGAUGUAUCUGUCCCAGAAACUCCGGUCUGUUGCCCUAAUGAACAAUUGCCUUCUUCAAACCAAAACUUGGCGAAACCGUGUUCAUGUUUAAAAGAUGCGAAGACAUGGACGAAACAAACGGAUUCUGUUCUAGUAGGUUCAAAUAUAUUACUUCCUUGCGAGUCGAAAGCUGUGUGCAAUUCUGAUUCAGAAGUUGUCCCCAAGCGUGUAUCAUUAUCUACGUCUAUGCAAUCAUGCUGGACCGAUCCUGCAGUGAAAAGUAUGUCAAUAGACAAAACGACGGAUUGUGUACCUUGUUGUAAAGGAAAUAACCGAACAAAUAAUAGAAAAGAUACUGCUACUUCUUGGAAGAGCUAUGAAGGAGGCUCGAGUCCAAUUGAGCACAGAAACCAUUGUAAAUGUUCGAAUUCUCAUCGUUAUGACAACUUCAAGGUUUUAUCAAAACCAGUUGGCGAUCUUGAAAACACUAGCCAUGGCAGCGAGAUCAUCCUUAAAGGUAGUAUACUCAAUGCUCUGAGGAGACUUCUCUUGCCUUCACACAGAGCAAUAGAACCUGGUGAAUCUCCAAAUAUAAGUCCGAAUUCAAGAAGCCGCUGUUCAUGUAUCGGUUGCCAGUCAAAAUUUUCAACAUCAUCCAAAAAAUUCGGACCCAAAACUGUGCUAAACUCUUUACUGUUCACGUAUGCUACCCAAAUAGCUUAUGAAGAAGGUAAAGAUAUGCCAGCUCUGCCACCGAACCAAUCUAUUUCUGAAGAGUCGUGCAUAUCCUGUGGUACUCUUGGAACACUUUCAGUCAAGUCUGGUAAUCGGCCCGCAGGAUCAUCAGCACAUGAUAGUCAAAAUUCACGAAAAAGUUCUCGCCACAGCGUAUUCUCUGGGUGUAGGGCUGCAUGCUCUUUAUUAGCGAAAAGUAUUAGAGGAAAGUGUACGUCCCCAAAACCGGCUGAAGUGUGUUGUCCUAAACCUAAACCUUCUUUGCCGAAGCAAGUUUCUGCACCAAGACCAGCUAAGCCUAAACGGAAAAAUGCUUCUACUUGUACAAGAGCAUCGGACAGAUAUGACUGCAGAACUCUGAGGUCAUUAAAGAGGGUUCAUCCUUGUGCAAAGAUCAGAAGGCAGGUCUGCACGUGUCAUUCAGACACUCAUUUGCUCAUUCAAGACGAUCCAUAUUGUUUAGUAACUAGAGCUACGUCUUGUAGCGGAGCGCACUACUAUUGUUUUCAUUGAAACAGUCAGAAUUUAUGAAACGUUUAUGUAAUUUGUCAUUUCAAACAUUUUCAGUACUUUUCAUGUUGAUGCGUUAGGGAGAUCAAAAGAUUUUAUGAUGAUCACUAUUUUUUACCAUGUGGCAAAAUAAA
Helicoverpa armigera (cotton bollworm) is the source of this 3633-nucleotide RNA transcript. RefSeq lists it as uncharacterized. Lineage: Eukaryota; Metazoa; Arthropoda; Insecta; Lepidoptera; Noctuidae. The record is from RefSeq and is a predicted model, not a curated record. The transcript is spliced from 6 exons.